This is a long non-coding RNA of Centruroides sculpturatus (bark scorpion), 972 nucleotides long. RefSeq lists it as uncharacterized. The transcript is spliced from 3 exons. The record is from RefSeq and is a predicted model, not a curated record. Lineage: Eukaryota; Metazoa; Arthropoda; Arachnida; Scorpiones; Buthidae.
UAGGUUUAUGUUAUUAUGGAAAAACAUACAGCGAGAAAAUAGGAAGAAACAACAUUUAUUAUUAUGUACAAAUUAAAUCACAAAUAAGUAAUAUGAACUAAUAAAAGAUUAUAAGAGUAAUAAUAACGAACACCAAACAUUUGUAUUUUUCAUAUUCCAAACUGUAUACCUACUAGUGCACACCCUCCAUAUUAUCGUCAGUAAAGAUUUAAUGUUUUCAUAAUUACUCCACGAUAAUGUAGAAUAAAGGACAAUUUGAGCAAUAUUUUUCGUAUUGCCAAUUACAAUCACUUUUUGCAGCUGCCUGUCAUUGCUUUAUUAAAUUUGUUCAGCAAUUACUGAAAAUGUAAUUGUUGAAUAUUAUGAAUCAAAUUCAAUAUUUAAUUUAAUAAAUAUAUUGAAAUAUUUUUUCAGAAUUCAGAUGAUGAAUCCGGCUCUCACAUCGAUUCAUCAGAAAGUGAUGAAAUUGAAUCAAAAUGUAUUUCAACCGAUUCUAUUAAACCAGAUGGCAAAAUCAUGAUCGAUAAUGAUGAUGGGCAUGAAAUAUUUUGGAGCGUAGAAAAAACCAGCACUCAAAAUUUGAACAAUUUUAUUAAAUCAGAAGAAAUUGUAGGUGAAAAUGAGAAUAUUUUGACAGAAAAAGGAUCCACUGUAAAAUCUAAAAAAAAGCAACAGACAAAAUGCGGGAAUCUAUUCAGUUAGUACGUCCGCAGAGUUUGGAGAUUUUUAUCAUGUCGAAAGUGAAAAGAAUAAUAUUAUUGGCAAUAGAAGCAAAUAAUUUCGAUAAAAUAGUUUAUUUCAGAUUUAUUUAUUUUUUAUUCUGAUUUAGAAAAAGUUUUUCUUUAAUUUAUUUGUUGUUUGUUUGCAUUAAGAAAAGAAAAAUGGUUUUUCUUUGGAUGGAUUUAUACAAAUCAAGUCGUGCAUGUGCAACUUGAUUUGUAUAAAUCCAUUCGAACUCAAACUUUAAACGAC